This 470-nucleotide ribosomal RNA is filed under the name Theileria equi. RNAcentral describes it as "SSU rRNA". It matches the Rfam family "Eukaryotic small subunit ribosomal RNA", at positions 513 to 1017 of the family's 1831-position model. The record is from RNAcentral. Lineage: Eukaryota; Apicomplexa; Aconoidasida; Piroplasmida; Theileriidae.
AAUGAUGGGAAUUUAAACCCCUUCCAGAGUAUCAAUUGGAGGGCAAGUCUGGUGCCAGCAGCCGCGGUAAUUCCAGCUCCAAUAGCGUAUAUUAAACUUGUUGCAGUUAAAAAGCUCGUAGUUGAAUUUCUGCUGUUUCGUUGACUGCGUUUGGCGUUUGUCAUCGUUGCGGCUUGGUUGGGUUUCGAUUAUUCGUUUCCCGGCGUUUACUUUGAGAAAAUUAGAGUGCUUGAAGCAGGCUUUUGCCUUGAAUACUUUAGCAUGGAAUAACGGAGUAGGACUUUGGUUCUAUUUUGUUGGUUUUAGGAGCCAGAGUAAUGGUUAAUAGGAACAGUUGGGGGCAUUCGUAUUUGACUGUCAGAGGUGAAAUUCUUAGAUUUGUCAAAGACGAACUACUGCGAAAGCAUUUGCCAAGGAUGUUUUCAUUAAUCAAGAACGAAAGUUAGGGGAUCGAAGACGAUCAGAUACCG